UGUUCCCUUUUCUUCGCAACCUCACCAGUGUCUUAUUUUUUGACUUUUUAAUAGUAGCCAUUCUGACAGGUGUGAGACAGCAUUGUUAUGGUUAUGACUCACAUUUCAAUUUUCAACUCCUUUGGGUAAAUACCAAGGAGGAUGAUGGCUGGAUUGUAUGGUAAGAGUAUGUUGAGUUUUGUAAGAAAUUGUCAAAAUAUCUUCCAAAGUAACUGUACCAUUUUGUAUUUUCACCGGCAAUAAAUGAGACUUACUGUUAUUUCACAUCCUAACCAGCAUUUAGUGUUGUCAGUGUUUUGGAAUUUUGCCAUUCGAAUAGGUGUGUAGUGGUAUCUCAUUAUUUUAAUUUGGAAUUCCCUAAUGACAUACACUGUUGUGCAUCUUUUCAUAUAGUUAUUUGUAAUCCAUGUAUCCUCUUUAGUGAGGUGUCUGUUCAGAUCUUUUGCCCAUUGUUUAACUGGGUUGUUCAUUUUCUUGUUGAAUUUUAAGAGUUCUCUGUAUAGUUUUGAUAACAACCUUUAUCAAAUAUGUCUCUUUUUCUAGAUUGCAUGUAGUCUUUUUUUUUUUCUUUUUUAAAUUUUAGAUUCAAGGGGUAUAUGUGCAUGUUUGUUACAUGGGUAUUACAUGUAUAAUGGUGAGUGUUGGGCUUGUAGUAUACCCAUCACCAAAACACUGGGCAUUGUAUCCAGUAGGAAUUUUUCAACCCUCAGCUCCUCCCCACUAUCUCCACAGUCUCCAGGGUCUAUUUUCUCCAUCUUUACAUCCAUGUGUGCCAUUUGUUUAGCUCCCACUGGCAAACAAUUUAUUUCAGUAUGUGGCUUCUCUUCCUCUCAGUAUAAUUCAUAGCACUUAUUUCUUAUUAUGUUUCCUAUAAUAUUAGACUGUGGGCUUCUUAUGAGCAAGGACUAUGUCACAUUCUUCCUCAGUUUUUUAGCUCAGUGUUUGGCGCAUAUUAUGAUUAAAUAAUGUUUAAUUAAUGAAUGACUGUGUUUGCAAAGUGAGUCAUCUACUCUCUUGAUACUCAAAAGAUGGCCCUCAAAUCAGUAACAUGGGAAUCCUUUGGGAGCUUGUUAGUAUGUAGAAUCUCAGCCUUCACAUGCUAAAUAAGUAUCGACAUUUUAGCAAGAUCUUCAGAUAAUCAGUAUGCACUUUGAUGUUUGUGAAUCUUGUGUUCCACUUAACCUUUAUGAACCCAUCUUUCCCCACCCAAAGUCAGGUGUGGUAGGACUCCAAGUCACAUUUAUAGGAUAGACUAAUUUAGAAAGUUCUAUUUUAGGCAGAAACAGGAAAGGCCACAAAGUAAAAAUGACAAGUGAGAGAGCACAGUACUAUUUUAUAGAAGUUUUGCUAAACCUGAGAACAUGAGAACUGAAAGUCCUGUGCUAGAAAUCAACUUACAGUUUCAAAAAUAAGUUCUGUGGGUUAAUCUUUAAAAUCAGGCCCUUAUUUUGAAGUUGGUCAGGUGAAACAUUCCAUGGCAAUUGUUUUAUCUGCACCCAAUUUAUAACCACCUAUUAGCACCUACCAGUUUGCUAGGUUCUGAGGUUAGUAUGGUUGAGAAAGAUUUCAUUCCUGCCUGACACUGCUUAUGGUAUAGAUGAAGAAGUAGAAGUUAAACAAAAAAUUAUAAUCUCAUUGUUGAAUUCUGUUGUGGAGAUAGGUGCAAAAUGUUGUGAAAACACCAUCGAAUAUUAAGUUUCUUGAGUAUAAGAACUAUGUAUAUUGUUCACUGUAGUAGAGUUCAUGUUUCUGAGACUGAGGGUUUUGAGGGAACCCUAAAUAAUCACAUUCUUCUGGCUCUACAGAUUGUUAGCCAACUGAAAAAUGGAAGAGUCAGAUUGGGGAUAAUAUUAAUAAUAAAGAUGGAUUGACAAGCACAGCUUGGGCCCCAAACCAAAAUGUGUUUCCUACCCAUUCCCCCAUCUAAACUUGCUUGACUUUGGGACCCCUUUAUAGGAGAGUUAUGUCUACAGAAAGAUACCUAGCCAGUCAUGUGGGGAAUGUCAGCCUGCUUCAAGUUUCCUUGAUUGCAGAUGAGGGUCAGAGAUAUAACUACAACCUCCUUGCCUUUGAUGCAAGACGUUCUUUCAGAGGUUAAUGUGGUUAAAAGGGUGAGAAGCUCUGCCCAUCACACCAGUAUGUUAAAUCAAUCCUCUUUCUGUAAGGAGAAGCCUGCAAGAGGGCAGAUCAUAGGAGGACCUUAUAUCAAAGCUAAAGUGAGAACAUGAGGAAAGAGAAACAAUGACUUUUUCCUAGAUUGGGAAUAUGCUCCCUGCCCCUGGAGAAGCAUCGAUAUGUUGGAAAAACAGGAGAAACAGUGACAAAGUCAAAGAAAGAAGAGACUCAAGGACUUAGGAAUAAACCAUUGAACCAAAAUUGCAGUUAAGGAUUUUCAUAUAUGCUAGAAGAGAAUGUGAUUCUUUUCUGCAAUUUGACAAGGUUAGUGAUCUGCAAAAUGUCCUGGGAGGAGAGCAUCUUCUUAGAUAAAAAUGAUGCACAUAUAAAUAUGUGUAGAAAUUCUUCAACCAUACUGAAAUUGACUGCAUUGCAAGAACAUUGAACCCAGUUUAUAGCCAUAUGAGAUGAUUUUUCAGAAUGCAGCCUAUUAAAAAUGUUCCUUUAAUGUGUUUCUACAUAGCCAUAUGAGAUGAUUUUUCAGGAUGAAGCCUAUGAAAAAUGUUCCUUUAAUGUGUUUCUACACGGCAACCAUGGAAAACAAACAUGCUUUACUAUUCUGAGAAUACAAUAGAAGAUAAAUAUCUUUCAGAGAGUGCAAAUAGCACCCUCUGAAGUUCUGGGCCUUGAAACUUUUAGGAAUAAUAUCCAGAGAAGGAAUGUUAAAGCUAGAAGAUCAACUGGGCUCAUCUGGUUCAUGCUUCUCAUGCAACAGACAAGAGAGCCAAGGCUAGCUAGGCUUAAGAGAUCGUGACUGCUGCAGAAACAAAUUAUUCUAUAUCGUAUACUAUGCUACCUUUUUUCCCCAGCAGGCAAUUAAUUAAUGUGGAUGAGAAUCAUAAAAAGACUCUGAAAAACUUUUGUAAAGUUGAGGAAGGAGUGGAAAAAGAAAAUAUAGAAGAGGGAAACAAUAAGGAAGUGAUACUAGGAAAGUAAAUCCAUUCUGUUUUCAGAUUAAUUAAACUUAAAAGAGAAAAAUUGUGUCGUAGUUUUCCCCUACUCAUAUCUCUUGUCUCUGUUUUGAGACACUUAUAAUUAUCAUAAUUUAUUAAAAGCAUAAAAGUCUUUGUCUAUUUUUUGCUGUUAUAACUGAAUA
RNAcentral lists this long non-coding RNA (3271 nucleotides) under Homo sapiens (human). Its description in RNAcentral is "HSALNT0313813". Lineage: Eukaryota; Metazoa; Chordata; Mammalia; Primates; Hominidae. The record is from RNAcentral.